GGUAAGCUGUAGCUCAGCGGCAGAACAUCUGCUUGGCAUGCAGAAGGCCCCAGGUUAGAUCUCUGGCAGCAUCU
This is a non-coding RNA of Podarcis lilfordi (Lilford's wall lizard), 74 nucleotides long. The record is from the annotation of a GenBank genome assembly. NCBI's taxonomy places the organism in Eukaryota, Metazoa, Chordata, Lepidosauria, Squamata, Lacertidae.